AAGAGAAAUUGUCAGCCAAAAUUAAAGCUGAGUUGUAUUAGGAGAUCACAGUCUGAGUAAUGGAGGAUUUACUAUUGUCAACUGAGAGGCUUACCAAUGGAUCACAAUAUUUUACUGUUACCUUGGAUUUCCAAGUAUUUAGACCAGUCUACUGUCUCUGGUCUAAGUAAAUAUCCAAACUCUGGAGAGGAAGAUGUUACAUUUUAUUCCUUCUCAAUAUAUAAUCCCCAUACUGACCAGUACAGUGCAUAUUUAUUUUUUCUUCUUUUUUUUUAUUAACUGGUAAAGAAACAGGCUCUAGCCUUAAGACACUGACAGGAUUUGAUACUAGUGCUGAGUAUGAAAGAGCUAGAAAACUAAAGACAAACCUCUGCACGGAGAAAGGGAUAGCAACACUCAUCAUGUAUUCCCAUUACUGCUAACAUUACUGUAACUACCGUAUUCAUCAGAAUACCUGCACUUAACAUUUCAUUUUCCUAUCAGCUCUCAUAAUUCAGAGGCUCGGUGGCAUUGUUUGCUAGGGUGGUGUCUGUAUUUAAUGUCUACUUGCAGUGUUUUUCCCUAAUCUAUUAUGACGUCUGACUGACGUGCAUUUAUUUGUUUUUACAGGUUGAAGUGGGGUUGAUGAACUGAGGGGCAGAGCAGGAGGUUGGGAUUCCUGGGUCUUAUUCCCACUAACCUGCUGGAUGACCUUUGGAAGAUGGCUCAGUUCAACCAUCUGUAAAACAAGUAUACAACUUACUGCUCUGAUGUCUUGUGAGGUUUAAUAGUUGAGUUCCUCUGAAAUUUGCUCUAUACAGCCGAGAGAAAGAAAGCACUCGACUGUGAGUCGUGUGAACCGGAGCGCCUCGUCGAAUGUUGAAGCUUUGAGGAGGCAAUCGUCGAGGUGUCUGGAGACCUAAAGACCGGAGGGUUGUUCUGGAGUCUUUCAUUGAAUGAAGCACUUCAUUCGUGUUAGCAGCAAAGAGUUUGUCACCGUCGAAGGGAAGAUCUUCAAUUGUGUUCUGAACUUCGCGAGGAAAAAAGGAAGAGGAGAGCCAUGAGCCCCGUCGCAUGACUAUCGCUGUAGCGGUAGAUCUUGCCGCUGUGUUGGCUACAUCGAGGGCUGCUUGGAGAGCGGUGCGUGAAAUGGCUUGGCCCUCAGAAACUAUAGCUCUGAACUGUUGUUUUCUUUGUUCUGGAAUGUCAUCAAUAAAGUCCAUUAACUUA
Malaclemys terrapin pileata is the source of this 1209-nucleotide long non-coding RNA. RefSeq lists it as uncharacterized. NCBI's taxonomy places the organism in Eukaryota, Metazoa, Chordata, Testudines, Emydidae. The transcript is spliced from 3 exons. The record is from RefSeq and is a predicted model, not a curated record.